UGGACACCCACCUUAUUAACCUCAUGGAGGGACCCAGUUUAGUACCAUGACACCAGCUGCAGGGAUGUCAUUUCAACCAACACAGGCACCACCACGACAUUUCGAAGGAACGCAAGGGGCCACACAAGAUACCUUGGAGGCGAACUUCGAAGACUGGAGUCGGUUAUUUUCUACACCUAACCAGCAUGCCGAUCCUACCUUCCAGACACCUGUGGCCACCGGACGUCCAGGUAGAGACGUAGGGCCUCCAGACCGACACACAUACCCUACAGACCACG
Long non-coding RNA from Panicum virgatum (switchgrass), 278 nucleotides. RefSeq lists it as uncharacterized. The transcript has 3 exons. Lineage: Eukaryota; Viridiplantae; Streptophyta; Magnoliopsida; Poales; Poaceae. The record is from RefSeq and is a predicted model, not a curated record.